GACGAACGCUGGCGGCGUGCUUAACACAUGCAAGUCGAACGGAAAGGCCCUGCUUUUGUGGGGUGCUCGAGUGGCGAACGGGUGAGUAACACGUGAGUAACCUGCCCUUGACUUUGGGAUAACUUCAGGAAACUGGGGCUAAUACCGGAUAGGAGCUCCUGCUGCAUGGUGGGGGUUGGAAAGUUUCGGCGGUUGGGGAUGGACUCGCGGCUUAUCAGCUUGUUGGUGGAGUAGUGGCUUACCAAGGCUUUGACGGGUAGCCGGCCUGGGAGGGUGACCGGCCACAUUGGGACUGAGAUACGGCCCAGACUCCUACGGGAGGCAGCAGUGGGGAAUAUGGCACAAUGGGCGGAAGCCUGAUGCAGCAACGCCGCGUGCGGGAUGCCGGCCUUCGGGUUGUAAACCGAUUUCGCCUGUGACGAAGCGUGAGUGACGGUAAUGGGUAAAGAAGCACCGGCUAACUACGUG
RNAcentral lists this ribosomal RNA (468 nucleotides) under uncultured bacterium. RNAcentral's name for it is "partial 16S ribosomal RNA". It matches the Rfam family "Bacterial small subunit ribosomal RNA", at positions 28 to 507 of the family's 1533-position model. The record is from RNAcentral.